Molecule: ribosomal RNA, 638 nt
Filed under: uncultured bacterium
Lineage: Bacteria
Description: bacterial SSU rRNA
Rfam family: Bacterial small subunit ribosomal RNA
Source: RNAcentral
CCAAAGCUGGCGACCGGCGCACGGGUGAGUAACACGUAUCCAACCUGCCUCAUACUCGGGGAUAGCCUUUCGAAAGAAAGAUUAAUAUCCGAUAGCAUAUAUUUCCCGCAUGGGUUUUAUAUUAAAGAAAUUCGGUAUGAGAUGGGGAUGCGUUCCAUUAGUUUGUUGGCGGGGUAACGGCCCACCAAGACUACGAUGGAUAGGGGUUCUGAGAGGAAGGUCCCCCACAUUGGAACUGAGACACGGUCCAAACUCCUACGGGAGGCAGCAGUGAGGAAUAUUGGUCAAUGGACGCGAGUCUGAACCAGCCAAGUAGCGUGAAGGAUGACUGCCCUAUGGGUUGUAAACUUCUUUUAUAUGGGAAUAAAGUGGUCCACGUGUGGAUUUUUGUAUGUACCAUAUGAAUAAGGAUCGGCUAACUCCGUGCCAGCAGCCGCGGUAAUACGGAGGAUCCGAGCGUUAUCCGGAUUUAUUGGGUUUAAAGGGAGCGUAGGCGGAUUGUUAAGUCAGUUGUGAAAGUUUGCGGCUCAACCGUAAAAUUGCAGUUGAUACUGGCAGUCUUGAGUGCAGUAGAGGUGGGCGGAAUUCGUGGUGUAGCGGUGAAAUGCUUAGAUAUCACGAAGAACUCCGAUUGCGAA